GGGUUGUGAGGUUAAGCGACUAAGCGUACACGGUGGAUGCCCUGGCAGUCAGAGGCGAUGAAGGACGUGCUAAUCUGCGAUAAGCGUCGGUAAGGUGAUAUGAACCGUUAUAACCGGCGAUUUCCGAAUGGGGAAACCCAGUGUGUUUCGACACACUAUCAUUAACUGAAUCCAUAGGUUAAUGAGGCGAACCGGGGGAACUGAAACAUCUAAGUACCCCGAGGAAAAGAAAUCAACCGAGAUUCCCCCAGUAGCGGCGAGCGAACGGGGAGCAGCCCAGAGCCUGAAUCAGUGUGUGUGUUAGUGGAAGCGUCUGGAAAGGCGCGCGAUACAGGGUGACAGCCCCGUACACAAAAAUGCACAUGCUGUGAGCUCGAUGAGUAGGGCGGGACACGUGGUAUCCUGUCUGAAUAUGGGGGGACCAUCCUCCAAGGCUAAAUACUCCUGACUGACCGAUAGUGAACCAGUACCGUGAGGGAAAGGCGAAAAGAACCCCGGCGAGGGGAGUGAAAAAGAACCUGAAACCGUGUACGUACAAGCAGUGGGAGCACGCUUAGGCGUGUGACUGCGUACCUUUUGUAUAAUGGGUCAGCGACUUAUAUUCUGUAGCAAGGUUAACCGAAUAGGGGAGCCGAAGGGAAACCGAGUCUUAACUGGGCGUUAAGUUGCAGGGUAUAGACCCGAAACCCGGUGAUCUAGCCAUGGGCAGGUUGAAGGUUGGGUAACACUAACUGGAGGACCGAACCGACUAAUGUUGAAAAAUUAGCGGAUGACUUGUGGCUGGGGGUGAAAGGCCAAUCAAACCGGGAGAUAGCUGGUUCUCCCCGAAAGCUAUUUAGGUAGCGCCUCGUGAAUUCAUCUCCGGGGGUAGAGCACUGUUUCGGCAAGGGGGUCAUCCCGACUUACCAACCCGAUGCAAACUGCGAAUACCGGAGAAUGUUAUCACGGGAGACACACGGCGGGUGCUAACGUCCGUCGUGAAGAGGGAAACAACCCAGACCGCCAGCUAAGGUCCCAAAGUCAUGGUUAAGUGGGAAACGAUGUGGGAAGGCCCAGACAGCCAGGAUGUUGGCUUAGAAGCAGCCAUCAUUUAAAGAAAGCGUAAUAGCUCACUGGUCGAGUCGGCCUGCGCGGAAGAUGUAACGGGGCUAAACCAUGCACCGAAGCUGCGGCAGCGACACUAUGUGUUGUUGGGUAGGGGAGCGUUCUGUAAGCCUGUGAAGGUGUACUGUGAGGUAUGCUGGAGGUAUCAGAAGUGCGAAUGCUGACAUAAGUAACGAUAAAGCGGGUGAAAAGCCCGCUCGCCGGAAGACCAAGGGUUCCUGUCCAACGUUAAUCGGGGCAGGGUGAGUCGACCCCUAAGGCGAGGCCGAAAGGCGUAGUCGAUGGGAAACAGGUUAAUAUUCCUGUACUUGGUGUUACUGCGAAGGGGGGACGGAGAAGGCUAUGUUGGCCGGGCGACGGUUGUCCCGGUUUAAGCGUGUAGGCUGGUUUUCCAGGCAAAUCCGGAAAAUCAAGGCUGAGGCGUGAUGACGAGGCACUACGGUGCUGAAGCAACAAAUGCCCUGCUUCCAGGAAAAGCCUCUAAGCAUCAGGUAACAUCAAAUCGUACCCCAAACCGACACAGGUGGUCAGGUAGAGAAUACCAAGGCGCUUGAGAGAACUCGGGUGAAGGAACUAGGCAAAAUGGUGCCGUAACUUCGGGAGAAGGCACGCUGAUAUGUAGGUGAAGUCCCUCGCGGAUGGAGCUGAAAUCAGUCGAAGAUACCAGCUGGCUGCAACUGUUUAUUAAAAACACAGCACUGUGCAAACACGAAAGUGGACGUAUACGGUGUGACGCCUGCCCGGUGCCGGAAGGUUAAUUGAUGGGGUCAGCGCAAGCGAAGCUCUUGAUCGAAGCCCCGGUAAACGGCGGCCGUAACUAUAACGGUCCUAAGGUAGCGAAAUUCCUUGUCGGGUAAGUUCCGACCUGCACGAAUGGCGUAAUGAUGGCCAGGCUGUCUCCACCCGAGACUCAGUGAAAUUGAACUCGCUGUGAAGAUGCAGUGUACCCGCGGCAAGACGGAAAGACCCCGUGAACCUUUACUAUAGCUUGACACUGAACAUUGAGCCUUGAUGUGUAGGAUAGGUGGGAGGCUUUGAAGUGUGGACGCCAGUCUGCAUGGAGCCGACCUUGAAAUACCACCCUUUAAUGUUUGAUGUUCUAACGUGGACCCGUAAUCCGGGUUGCGGACAGUGUCUGGUGGGUAGUUUGACUGGGGCGGUCUCCUCCUAAAGAGUAACGGAGGAGCACGAAGGUUGGCUAAUCCUGGUCGGACAUCAGGAGGUUAGUGCAAUGGCAUAAGCCAGCUUGACUGCGAGCGUGACGGCGCGAGCAGGUGCGAAAGCAGGUCAUAGUGAUCCGGUGGUUCUGAAUGGAAGGGCCAUCGCUCAACGGAUAAAAGGUACUCCGGGGAUAACAGGCUGAUACCGCCCAAGAGUUCAUAUCGACGGCGGUGUUUGGCACCUCGAUGUCGGCUCAUCACAUCCUGGGGCUGAAGUAGGUCCCAAGGGUAUGGCUGUUCGCCAUUUAAAGUGGUACGCGAGCUGGGUUUAGAACGUCGUGAGACAGUUCGGUCCCUAUCUGCCGUGGGCGCUGGAGAAUUGAGGGGGGCUGCUCCUAGUACGAGAGGACCGGAGUGGACGCAUCACUGGUGUUCGGGUUGUCAUGCCAAUGGCACUGCCCGGUAGCUAAAUGCGGAAGAGAUAAGUGCUGAAAGCAUCUAAGCACGAAACUUGCCCCGAGAUGAGUUCUCCCUGACUCCUUGAGAGUCCUGAAGGAACGUUGAAGACGACGACGUUGAUAGGCCGGGUGUGUAAGCGCAGCGAUGCGUUGAGCUAACCGGUACUAAUGAACCGUGAGGCUUAACCUUACAACGCCGAAGGUGUUU
RNAcentral lists this ribosomal RNA (2930 nucleotides) under Escherichia coli. RNAcentral's name for it is "23S ribosomal RNA". It matches the Rfam family "Bacterial large subunit ribosomal RNA". RNAcentral also lists the same sequence under 1 other name. Lineage: Bacteria; Pseudomonadati; Pseudomonadota; Gammaproteobacteria; Enterobacterales; Enterobacteriaceae. The record is from RNAcentral.